RNAcentral lists this non-coding RNA (125 nucleotides) under Enterococcus faecalis. RNAcentral describes it as "FMN sequence". It matches the Rfam family "FMN riboswitch aptamer (RFN element)". Rfam says of the family: The RFN element is a highly conserved domain that is found frequently in the 5'-untranslated regions of prokaryotic mRNAs that encode for flavin mononucleotide (FMN) biosynthesis and transport proteins. This element is a metabolite-dependent riboswitch that directly binds FMN in the absence of proteins. In Bacillus subtilis, the riboswitch most likely controls gene expression by causing premature transcription termination within the 5' untranslated region of the ribDEAHT operon and precluding access to the ribosome-binding site of ypaA mRNA. The record is from RNAcentral. Lineage: Bacteria; Bacillati; Bacillota; Bacilli; Lactobacillales; Enterococcaceae.
GUUCGUCUUCAGGGGCAGGGUGAAAUUCCCGACCGGUGGUAAUAGUCCACGACCCGUUUCUUCGGAAAUGGCUGAAUCGGUGAAAUUCCGAUACCGACAGUAAAGUCUGGAUAAAGAAGAUAGGG